UUUUCUUUAAUAAAAAAUUCCACUUGAAAUUCACAAGUUCCUGAACCCCCAUAUUCUUUAAGUUCAUAAUUUAGUUCUACGUAAACAAAACUCUCUUAAGAGAAACAGAUACCAGUGCAAAGUUAUGGCUACAUUUGUUAUACAGCUAAAAA
Long non-coding RNA from Juglans microcarpa x Juglans regia, 152 nucleotides. RefSeq lists it as uncharacterized. The transcript has 3 exons. Lineage: Eukaryota; Viridiplantae; Streptophyta; Magnoliopsida; Fagales; Juglandaceae. The record is from RefSeq and is a predicted model, not a curated record.